RNAcentral lists this long non-coding RNA (648 nucleotides) under Bos indicus x Bos taurus (hybrid cattle). Its description in RNAcentral is "lncRNA (ENSBIXG00005017231.1)". Lineage: Eukaryota; Metazoa; Chordata; Mammalia; Artiodactyla; Bovidae. The record is from RNAcentral.
CAGCAAUCUUCAUGAUGUAUUAUUGUCUAUCUUCCCUCCACCUUUUGUUCCUUUUUUUUUUUUUGGUAGAUCUCACUGAUGGGCCUGAGUUAAUCCUGUACCACCACCACCACCACCAUCAUCAUCAUUUCUCUCCCUUGAAGCCCUCUGUGGAACAAGACACAUCUCAAAGCUUCUGUCUGUUUCUUCUGCAUCUCAGAACUAAUUUCAGAAAUCACUGGUGCACCAAGUUCACCAAAUCUCUGGGGAGAGGAGACGCCAACCUGAGGAGCAACGUUGGUUGUAAAGCACACCUCUGGACCAAGUCUUCACUGGAGGAGUACCAUAGUUGAAGAGCACAUGACCUCAUCAGCUCCAGGUGGGUACAAGGGAUGCUGCUGAUGGAAGCUUCUCCCACGUGACUCCUGGUGACACUUACCUCAGAAGCAUGAUCUUUACAGAGUUGAGUUGUUUGCCUUCCUAACGUGAAACAAUCAAAUACUUUUGGAAGGAAAUAGUCCAAGAGUCAAGAAGACCGAUUUCCCUCUUCAUCUUUAUUGGAACUUAAUUUGCUGGCAAUUAUCAUGUCUUUAUCAUACACUUAGAGUUUCAUUCAUUUACACUCCAGGAAGAAUGAUGAAUCUUUAUAACAUUUUCAUUUAAAUUACU